Neoarius graeffei (lesser salmon catfish) is the source of this 954-nucleotide long non-coding RNA. RefSeq lists it as uncharacterized. The record is from RefSeq and is a predicted model, not a curated record. Lineage: Eukaryota; Metazoa; Chordata; Actinopteri; Siluriformes; Ariidae. The transcript has 2 exons.
UGCGACUGGCUCGAAAACCUCCAUGACGUCACGGCCAGUUCCACAGCGGUGUUGGGCCGUGUGGGUGGGCCGUGUGGGUGGGCCGUGUGGGUGGGCCGUGACUCACCUGGAAAGCGCGACUACACUUUUAUUUUUUUGCACGCGCGUCGCCAAAGCGCAAACUAACCGGAUUUCCAGAUUCUUCAGAAACACAAUAUUACAGCUUCUGCUUGAUUUUACUCUAACUUCCCACAUCUAGACUACAGACGAGUUCAUCUUUCACUUUCAGACCAACUACUCAUUUAAUGGCUCGUGUUUAUAAAAACUAUGAUGUUGACUGGAAGUGCUUCAGUGAUGUCACUGUUAAAGCACUCAUGAAGUUCAGUGACUUACAUUCUUCUUCACUUCGGCCAUUUCGUCUUCCGUCAGACCUGCCUGAUCCAUCCUGAUGUCCUAAGUCUGGCUGGAGUCUCAUCACAUUGCUCCUGUGGAGGAUGGCCCCAUAUGGAUAGCCAAAAGUCGCACUUGGAAGAUGCUUUGGACUCUUACAAUAAUGCUUUUAUGGCUGAGGACUACAGUUGACUUGCUAACUUUAGGAUUGCAGUUGUCAUGAACAGUUUUGCACUCAAGUUUCCAUCAAUGAAGAGUUUAGAACUUCAACAAAACAGACUUCCUGUUAAAACUAUAGUGAAUUUCCUGGUUACACAGUUCUACUUUUGUGACUAUAUAGGACACAGUUAUAAAAGCAAGUUAUUUAUAAUCACGUUAUCUGUUAUCACCCAAAUAAGAAUGGGUUCUCUUUUGAGUCUGGUUCCUCUCAAGAUUUCUUUCUUCCUCAUGUCGUCUGAGGGAGUUUUUCCUCACCACCAUCGCCACAGGCUUGCUUAUUGGGGAUAAAAAUAGCUCAUGUUUAAAGUCUUUAAUUUUCUGUUGUUAAAAGCACUAUAAAAAUAAACUUGACUUGUAAAUAUAUUA